RNAcentral lists this ribosomal RNA (253 nucleotides) under uncultured bacterium. RNAcentral's name for it is "partial 16S ribosomal RNA". It matches the Rfam family "Bacterial small subunit ribosomal RNA", at positions 524 to 776 of the family's 1533-position model. The record is from RNAcentral.
UACGUAGGGGGCGAGCGUUGUCCGGAUUUACUGGGCGUAAAGAGCGCGCAGGCGGUCGUACAAGUCGCGUGUGAAAGCCCCCGGCUCAACUGGGGAGGGUCACGCGAUACUGUUCGACUCGAAGGCAGGAGAGGGAAGUGGAAUUCCCGGUGUAGUGGUGAAAUGCGUAGAUAUCGGAAGGAACAUCAGUGGCGAAAGCGACUUCCUGGACCAAUACUGACGCUCAUGUGCGAAAGCGUGGGGAGCAAACAGG